This 228-nucleotide ribosomal RNA is filed under the name Triticum aestivum (bread wheat). RNAcentral describes it as "partial small subunit ribosomal RNA". Lineage: Eukaryota; Viridiplantae; Streptophyta; Magnoliopsida; Poales; Poaceae. The record is from RNAcentral.
AUUGUAUGGAACGUGAGGGGUUUGAACAACCCGGCUAGGAGAGCAGUAGUUAAGGAGUUGUUGUACCGGAACAAUGUAUCCCUAGUAUGUUUGCAAGAAACAAAACUAUCCUUCAUCGAUAGAGCCAUGGUGAACCAAUGUUGUGGCACGGAGUUCUCUGAGUUUGCGUAUCUAUCGGCUGUUGGGUCUAGAGGAGGUGUGUUAAUGGCAUGGAAGGGUGACCACUAG